This 866-nucleotide ribosomal RNA is filed under the name uncultured Psychrobacter sp. Its description in RNAcentral is "bacterial SSU rRNA". It matches the Rfam family "Bacterial small subunit ribosomal RNA", at positions 54 to 915 of the family's 1533-position model. Lineage: Bacteria; Pseudomonadati; Pseudomonadota; Gammaproteobacteria; Moraxellales; Moraxellaceae. The record is from RNAcentral.
CAUGCAGUCGAGCGGAACGAUGGGAGCUUGCUCCCGGGCGUCGAGCGGCGGACGGGUGAGUAACACUUAGGAAUCUACCUAGUAGUGGGGGAUAGCUCGGGGAAACUCGAAUUAAUACCGCAUACGUCCUACGGGAGAAAGGGGGCAACUUGUUGCUCUCGCUAUUAGAUGAGCCUAAGUCGGAUUAGCUAGUUGGUGGGGUAAAGGCCUACCAAGGCGACGAUCUGUAGCUGGUCUGAGAGGACGAUCAGCCACACCGGGACUGAGACACGGCCCGGACUCCUACGGGAGGCAGCAGUGGGGAAUAUUGGACAAUGGGGGCAACCCUGAUCCAGCCAUGCCGCGUGUGUGAAGAAGGCCUUUUGGUUGUAAAGCACUUUAAGCAGUGAAGAAGACCUAACGGUUAAUACCCGUUAGCGAUGACAUUAGCUGCAGAAUAAGCACCGGCUAACUCUGUGCCAGCAGCCGCGGUAAUACAGAGGGUGCAAGCGUUAAUCGGAAUUACUGGGCGUAAAGCGAGCGUAGGUGGCUUGAUAAGUCAGAUGUGAAAUCCCCGGGCUUAACCUGGGAACUGCAUCUGAUACUGUUAGGCUAGAAUAGGUGAGAGGAAGGUAGAAUUCCAGGUGUAGCGGUGAAAUGCGUAGAGAUCUGGAGGAAUACCGAUGGCGAAGGCAGCCUUCUGGCAUCAUAUCGACACUGAGGUUCGAAAGCGUGGGUAGCAAACAGGAUUAGAUACCCUGGUAGUCCACGCCGUAAACGAUGUCUACUAGUCGUUGGGUCCCUUGAGGACUUAGUGACGCAGCUAACGCAAUAAGUAGACCGCCUGGGGAGUACGGCCGCAAGGUUAAAACUUAAAUGAAUUGACG